This is a long non-coding RNA of Esox lucius (northern pike), 334 nucleotides long. RefSeq lists it as uncharacterized. NCBI's taxonomy places the organism in Eukaryota, Metazoa, Chordata, Actinopteri, Esociformes, Esocidae. The record is from RefSeq and is a predicted model, not a curated record. The transcript has 3 exons.
UUGGCUCACACUUUGCAAUCACUCAACAACAGUGGGACUACGAUUUGGUUUUCAACAGUGCAGUUAGCAGUAAGGGUGUGUCCAUGUAAGGACACUUCGGCCUGGGCUCACCACGCUACGCCUGUGUUGAAAUCAAACCUACGCCCCUGACCCGACCUCAACCAAAGUGAGAUCGUUUGGGAUUAUUUGGGCAGCAGAGUGAAGGAAAAGCAGCCGACAAAGGCUCAGCCUUCAAGACUGUUGAAGAGAAAUUCCAGCUCUUGGGGAUAUUUCGGAAGGGCGUCCAUUUCUAGGCCAAGCUGCUGCCACAUAAAAAAGACUGGUGCUGAUUAAA